Molecule: ribosomal RNA, 497 nt
Filed under: uncultured bacterium
Lineage: Bacteria
Description: partial 16S ribosomal RNA
Rfam family: Bacterial small subunit ribosomal RNA
Source: RNAcentral
GACGAACGCUGGCGGCGUGCCUAAUACAUGCAAGUUGAGCGCUGAAGGUUGGUACUUGUACCAACUGGAUGAGCAGCGAACGGGUGAGUAACGCGUGGGGAAUCUGCCUUUGAGCGGGGGACAACAUUUGGAAACGAAUGCUAAUACCGCAUAAAAACUUUAAACACAAGUUUUAAGUUUGAAAGAUGCAAUUGCAUCACUCAAAGAUGAUCCCGCGUUGUAUUAGCUAGUUGGUGAGGUAAAGGCUCACCAAGGCGAAGAUACAUAGCCGACCUGAGAGGGUGAUCGGCCACAUUGGGAAGGAGACACGGCCCAAACUCCUACGGGAGGCAGCAGUAGGGAAUCUUCGGCAAUGGAAGAAAGUCUGACCGAGCAACGCCGCGUGAGUGAAGAAGGUUUUCGGAUCGUAAAACUCUGUUGGUAGAGAAGAACGUUGGUGAGAGUGGAAAGCUCAUCAAGUGACGGUAACUACCCAGAAAGGGACGGCUAACUACGUG